AUUUCAGGAUUUAUCACUAAAUCAGACAAAGUCAUUUAUUUAGUACCCCUGACACAGCAGGGCAAACUGAGUUGGCAUACAAGUUACCUGGAGAAAAAGAGAGCAAUUCCAGGACUUCCUCUUCAGCCCAAAAGAAGGUACCAGAUCUGUGCACUGGGGCGAUGUGGAAGAGACCUGCUUAUUGCCCCUGAUGUAAACUCCAGUAAGAAAAGACGUCAAGUACAAGUACUAGGAAAUCACUUUAUACAUCUGUUUAUAGAUGGAUGCAGAGGCUGAAGAUAAAACGCUACGUACUCGCUCUAAAGGAACUGAGGGUGAGUUAGCAAGCAGGUUCUAUGACACUAUGCCCACCACACCAUGAAAUAUGAGAGUUCCAGUGCUCAGUCCCUCAUGUGCAGUCAGAAUGAUUACAACUUCCUCGGGGCUUCUUUUUUCAAAUCAAGCCAGGACACUGGCUCUUGGCAUGGAGAGGCA
This 474-nucleotide long non-coding RNA is filed under the name Rhinopithecus bieti (black snub-nosed monkey). Its description in RNAcentral is "lncRNA (ENSRBIG00000045783.1)". Lineage: Eukaryota; Metazoa; Chordata; Mammalia; Primates; Cercopithecidae. The record is from RNAcentral.